Molecule: transfer RNA, 96 nt
Filed under: Dactylosporangium vinaceum subsp. matsuzakiense
Lineage: Bacteria; Bacillati; Actinomycetota; Actinomycetes; Micromonosporales; Micromonosporaceae
Description: Dactylosporangium matsuzakiense tRNA-Pro
Source: RNAcentral
CGUGUGGUGGGCCCCGUCGGCCUGGGGCCUGCGCGCGGUGCGCGGUGAGUGGACGUUUCUGCUCGCUCUGGCGGCUCUGGUACUCGUCCUGCUCGC